Molecule: long non-coding RNA, 487 nt
Organism: Misgurnus anguillicaudatus (oriental weatherfish)
Lineage: Eukaryota; Metazoa; Chordata; Actinopteri; Cypriniformes; Cobitidae
Source: RefSeq, a predicted model, not a curated record
UGUUUCUGACAGGAGUGCAGUGCCGCUGUGGCUUCCAGUUUCUGCCGGGCUUCUACUGCUUAUGAUUCUGGUUGGUGUUUUUAUCUGGAAAUGGAAAAGGAGAUCCGAUUCCAACAUAGAAACAACUUACUGUGUUGUUGAAGAUCUAUCUGGGCAUAAAGCACAGGUUCCAGUAGAUGGCACCCUUUACAGCACUGUAGAACCUCACUACCAGAACCCACAGGAACAAUAAGUCAUUAUAGCACCUAUUUGUCUUGUUUCUUAAUUUUCUUAAAUCUCAAGACUUUUUAAACAGCUCAGCUUAUCCAACAACAUCUGUAAUCUGUAAUGUAAUGCAUUAUAUCUAUUCCAAACACCACCACAAAUACAAGAAUGCCCUCAUGCAGUUAUCAUUUCAUAAUUGCUUCAUUUUUACCUGUUUACGGGUUAGGAUUGGAAACUGUAGACGUAACUUUUAAUUUGCACAUUUCUUUUUGUAGUUCAUAAC